This 253-nucleotide ribosomal RNA is filed under the name uncultured bacterium. RNAcentral's name for it is "partial 16S ribosomal RNA". It matches the Rfam family "Bacterial small subunit ribosomal RNA", at positions 524 to 776 of the family's 1533-position model. The record is from RNAcentral.
UACGUAGGUGGCAAGCGUUGUCCGGAUUUACUGGGCGUAAAGAGCGCGCAGGCGGUCGUUCAAGUCGCGUGUGAAAGCCCCCGGCUCAACUGGGGAGGGUCACGCGAUACUGAUCGACUCGAAGGCAGGAGAGGGUAGUGGAAUUCCCGGUGUAGUGGUGAAAUGCGUAGAUAUCAGGAGGAACACCGGUGGUGUAGACGGCUUUCUGGCCCGUAAUUGACGCUGAGGCGCGAAAGCGUGGGGAGCAAACAGG